RNAcentral lists this ribosomal RNA (460 nucleotides) under uncultured bacterium. RNAcentral describes it as "partial 16S ribosomal RNA". It matches the Rfam family "Bacterial small subunit ribosomal RNA", at positions 338 to 795 of the family's 1533-position model. The record is from RNAcentral.
CCUACGGGGGGCAGCAGUGAGGAAUAUUGGUCAAUGGACGAGAGUCUGAACCAGCCAAGUAGCGUGAAGGACGAAUGCCCUAUGCGUUGUAAACUUCUUUUAUAUGGGAAUAAAAUGUUCCACGUGUGGGUUUUUGUGUGUACCAUAUGAAUAAGGAUCGGCUAACUCCGUGCCAGCAGCCGCGGUAAUACGGAGGAUCCGAGCGUUAUCCGGGUUUAUUGGGUUUAAAGGGAGCGUAGGUGGAUUGUUAAGUCAGUUGUGAAAGUUUGGGGCUCAACCGUAAAAUUGCAGUUGAAACUGGCAGUCUUGAGUACAGGAGAGGUGUGCGGAAUUCGUGGUGUAGCGGUGAAAUGCUUAGAUAUCACGAAGAACUCCGAUUGCGAAGGCAGCUCACUGGACGGCAUCUGACACUGAGGCUCGAAAGUGUGGGUAUCAAACAGGAUUAGAUACCCGAGUAGUC